RNAcentral lists this ribosomal RNA (253 nucleotides) under uncultured bacterium. RNAcentral describes it as "partial 16S ribosomal RNA". It matches the Rfam family "Bacterial small subunit ribosomal RNA", at positions 524 to 776 of the family's 1533-position model. The record is from RNAcentral.
UACGUAGGUGGCAAGCGUUGUCCGGAUUUACUGGGCGUAAAGAGCGCGCAGGCGGUCGGAUAAGUCGAAUGUGAAAGCCCCCGGCUCAACUGGGGAGGGUCAUUCGAUACCGUUCGACUCGAAGGCAGGAGAGGGUAGUGGAAUUCCCGGUGUAGUGGUGAAAUGCGUAGAUAUCGGGAGGAACACCAGUGGCGAAGGCGACUACCUGGCCUGUUCUUGACGCUGAGGCGCGAAAGCUAGGGGAGCAAACGGG